ACCUACGGGGGGCAGCAGUGGGGAAUAUUGCGCAAUGGGGGAAACCCUGACGCAGCGACGCCGCGUGAGCGAAGAAGGCCUUAGGGUCGUAAAGCUCUGUUUUAAGGGACGAAUGUCGCGGGUAAUAAUACGAUCUGCGAAUGACGGUACCUUAAGAGGAAGCCCCGGCUAACUACGUGCCAGCAGCCGCGGUAAGACGUAGGGGGCGAGCGUUGUCCGGAAUUACUGGGCGUAAAGAGCACGUAGGCGGGAUUUUAAGUCAGGUGUGAAAGACCGUGGCUCAACCACGGGGUUGCACUUGAAACUGGGAUUCUUGAGGGCAGGAGAGGAAAGUGGAAUUCCUGGUGUAGCGGUGAAAUGCGUAGAAAUCAGGAGGAACACCGGUGGCGAAGGCGACUUUCUGGACUGACCCUGACGCUGAGGUGCGAAAGCGUGGGUAGCAAACAGGAUUAGAUACCCCUGUAGUCCC
This 469-nucleotide ribosomal RNA is filed under the name uncultured bacterium. Its description in RNAcentral is "bacterial SSU rRNA". It matches the Rfam family "Bacterial small subunit ribosomal RNA", at positions 337 to 797 of the family's 1533-position model. The record is from RNAcentral.